Syngnathoides biaculeatus (alligator pipefish) is the source of this 2165-nucleotide long non-coding RNA. RefSeq lists it as uncharacterized. The transcript is spliced from 2 exons. Lineage: Eukaryota; Metazoa; Chordata; Actinopteri; Syngnathiformes; Syngnathidae. The record is from RefSeq and is a predicted model, not a curated record.
GUUUCAACCAAUCGACAUACCGCUUGACGUGUAUGCGCUAUCCAUUGAUAAUUUUUUUUUUUUUUUAGGUUUUAUUAUGUUUUAAUCAGUGUGUACAUGUGCUAUAUGUCGUGCAGAGAAGGUUUGUCUUGGUGGGGUUGCCGUAGUUUAAUUUGGGAGGCAGCGCAAAUGACGCAAAGACGCAGUUUGUCCUAGUAGGGUUGCCGUAGUUUUUGUGUGGCAGUCAACGUCCACAGGCACAGAAGGGUCGAACGCCGAUCGUGUCAGAACAACUAAUUAUGGAAACGUUUUUUGCGGAGACAAAAAAGCAAUGAAGAGUACCGAAGCUUUCAACAAGAAUGGAAAGCAUUCGUACUCGACGUUGCCAGUAAACAUUUUGCCAACUUCCCAUCAAGACAAGAUCAUCAACCGAAUAAAAGAGACGCCUUUGCCGGCAAGAGCUGUUCACCGUCGAUUGCAAAUCAAAUUGAAUUAUGUUCAACAUUUACGGAUGAAAGUCUCAACGCCUGCGUGAAGCUUCAUCUGACCGCGUCAGAAACAGACUUGCAAGCCAUUAGCGAAAACAGGAAGCACCUGAAGUCGGAAUCAUGAGGAAAGGUCCCAAAUUCUGAUUUGACGCCUCCGAAGCUUUCGCGUCCAGGGCCCGUCUCGUCGUUCCCGAGCCACGGCUCAGCCGAAGCGAGGCAAACUCGGAGCGGCGUGCCCAAGAUCAACAAACUGGGCUGAAUACGCCGUGGGGCUGUAAGGCAAAAUAAGCACGGACGUUAUUCGCGGUGGUGUGGAUCGGCCUUGGGAGUAAUCCUGGGAAAUUGAUUAGUCAAGAAAAACAGCGGCAAUGCGGGUAAAAGCUUUUGGAAGGGAGUUUAUCUCAGAUGUGGUUGGCUCGCUAAUAAUAUGGUAAUUAGAUCAAUAUGCUUUUUGGGACGAUUGGCUAUGAAAGGAGACACCCGGGGAGGCCCCGCCACGGGCGUGACGGCGCAAAACAGAUCCUUGUCUUUUUCAAACACACAAAGGAGGCAAACUUUGAAAAGUUUUUACGCCUUUAUAAGCCCGAGACGUUCUGCUCGGUGGAGAAUUUGUCAUGUUUAUUUUUUAACUAGCUACUGAAAAGACAGCUGUUAUCGGGGAAAUAACCUGUAGUAGCUUUUUGCUCGAGUUCAUUUGCAAAGAUAACAUCGUAUAGCAAUCAUAUUAUCUUACUGUAUGUAUGUUUUUGUAAUUUAUCGCAGCAGUAUUGUUUUUUUUCCCCUGCCAGUUGGUGAGCAAACUGUCAGUUAGCAUUAGUUAGCUUCAAGUUAAGUCGCUGGGCGAAGGCGAACACAUUUAAAUUUGAGCCAUUUAUCGAUUGAAGCUUCAUUUUUAACCAUACAAUAAAAAAAAACUACAAGGAAAUUUUUUUCAAAAGAAACGACAUGAGAAGUAUUCUGUAUUCAAACAAUGUACUGCUUGUCCAAAAAGGAAUAGAAACAAUGAAAAUGAAAUGCUAACCCUUCACCAUGACCCGGGACAAAUUAUCCAUCAAAAAAUUCAAAUUCAUCUUUUCAAUUUGUUUAAAUUCAUAUUCAAUGAUAUACUAUUUGUCUGUAAUUGGAUUAAAUACAUUUUCCCCCAUGUGAACAAUGUAGCAUUAGCACGGUAGCUGUGAUCGCUCAAUUUGUUUGUUAUAUGAGCGAUUUAUAUACAAAUUGUGAACAUGGAGUUGCAGUCUUGAUUGUUGCCCAUAAAAAUAAUGCUAAACGAGCAUAAUUUAAAUAUUCCCGAAUGCUUGCCUUUGGUGUAUAUCUAGCUAGCUGAUGUUAGAAUGUUGCAUACUUUAUGAUCAAAUGCACUAAAAGCAAGGCCAGCUGCCUUUUUGCUAUUCUGGCAUUUGAAAAACAGUCGAAAAAGAACAUACCAAAAAAUAUUGUUCUUGUAGUUCAAUAUUAUUGUGUUUUUGAUUGGAGUUUAUUGUCGUGCUUUUACCACCAGUGUAAAAUUUGUACCUACUAGUUUUUCGCCAACUUAACCUAAGCGAGCUAGCACCUCAUGCAUGGCGUCUAUACUCCAGUUUGCGGCCUUAAUCGUUAAAAAAAUAAACACUUCUAGCUACGUUUUGGAGAAAAUGCCAAGAAUGCAAACCGUUAGUCCACAAGAUUUAUUUAAUAAACAUUGACUUUGUGUUCUGA